Molecule: ribosomal RNA, 253 nt
Filed under: uncultured soil bacterium
Lineage: Bacteria
Description: partial 16S ribosomal RNA
Rfam family: Bacterial small subunit ribosomal RNA
Source: RNAcentral
AGGACGAACGCUGGCGGCGUGCUUAACACAUGCAAGUCGCUGGGGGUGAGCAAUCACUCACCGGCGAACGGGUGCGUAACACGUGAGCGACCUGCCCACUUGUGGGGUAUAGCCGGCCCAACGGCCGGGUAAUCCCGCAUACGCUUCUCUGGCUGCAUGGCCGGGGGAGGAAAGCCGUAAGGCGCAAGUGGAGGGGCUCGGCGGCCUAUCAGCUAGUUGGCGGGUAACGGCCACCAAGGCGAUGACGGGUAGC